GUAGGCAUAGUUCAGUGGCAGAGUGUAUGGUUAGCAUGCACAAGGUCCUAGGUUCAAUCCCCAGUACCUCCA
Molecule: transfer RNA, 72 nt
Filed under: Camelus dromedarius (Arabian camel)
Lineage: Eukaryota; Metazoa; Chordata; Mammalia; Artiodactyla; Camelidae
Also listed under: 1 other name
Rfam family: tRNA
About the family: Transfer RNA (tRNA) molecules are approximately 80 nucleotides in length. Their secondary structure includes four short double-helical elements and three loops (D, anti-codon, and T loops).
Source: Rfam by way of RNAcentral